Molecule: ribosomal RNA, 431 nt
Filed under: uncultured archaeon
Lineage: Archaea
Description: bacterial SSU rRNA
Rfam family: Archaeal small subunit ribosomal RNA
Source: RNAcentral
UACCAGCUCUCCGAGUGGUGUGGAUGUUUAUUGGGCCUAAAGCAUCCGUAGCUGGCUGGGCAAGUCCCCUGUUAAAUCCACCGAUUUAAUCGUUGGUGUGCGGGGGAUACUGUUCGGCUAGGGGACGGGAGAGGUCGACGGUAUUUUCGGGGGUAGGGGUGAAAUCCUAUAAUCCCGGGAAGACCACCAGUGGCGAAGGCUGUCGGCUAGAACGCGCCCGACGGUGAGGGAUGAAAGCUGGGGGAGCGAACCGGAUUAGAUACCCGGGUAGGUCCCAGCUGUAAACGAUGCAGGCUAGGUGUUUGGGCGGCCACGUGCCGCUCUAGUGCCGCAGAGAAGUCGUUAAGCCUGCCGCCUGGGGAGUACGGCCGCAAGGCUGAAACUUAAAGGAAUUGGCGGGGGAGCACCACAAGGGGUGAAGCUUGCGGUUU